Molecule: small RNA, 76 nt
Filed under: Xanthomonas hortorum
Lineage: Bacteria; Pseudomonadati; Pseudomonadota; Gammaproteobacteria; Lysobacterales; Lysobacteraceae
Also listed under: 3 other names
Description: sX9 sRNA
Rfam family: Xanthomonas sRNA sX9
Source: RNAcentral
AGGAACCGCUCGAACAACCCGGUUCCUGCGUAGCGUGCGCACCCACCUGACGGCAGCUCACUGCCUGCCGUCAGCC